RNAcentral lists this ribosomal RNA (482 nucleotides) under Rhysida calcarata. RNAcentral's name for it is "partial 16S ribosomal RNA". It matches the Rfam family "Bacterial large subunit ribosomal RNA", at positions 1819 to 2606 of the family's 2925-position model. The record is from RNAcentral. Lineage: Eukaryota; Metazoa; Arthropoda; Chilopoda; Scolopendromorpha; Scolopendridae.
GUCUUCUUGAGAAUAAUUAGAAGUCUGACCUGCCCAAUGAUUUUAAAUGGCCGCGGUAUUUUGACCGUGCGAAGGUAGCAUAAUAAAUAGUCUAUUAAUUAUAGUCUGGAAUGAAGGGUUUGACGUGGAAUAGCUUUCUUAAAUUUUAUGGUGAAAUUAAAUUAUCAGUAAAAAUGCUGAUGUGGAAUAGGAGGACGAGAAGACCCUAUAGAGCUUUAUAUCUUGAUUAAAUUUUGUAGCACUUUUUUUGAUUAUUUUGUUGGGGCGACAUUGAAUAUAAACAUUCAAUAUUUCUUAGUAAUAGGAUGAAUGAUCCAUUAUUAAUGAUUUUAGACUAAGUUACCUUAGGGAUAACAGCGUAAUCUUUUUUUAGAGUUCAUAUCGAUGAAAAGGUUUGCGACCUCGAUGUUGGAUUAAAAUACCUAUGGGGCGUAGCAGUUUCAUAAGGUGGUCUGUUCGACCAUUAAAUUUUUACAUGAUCU